GAGACCUUACGAUUUUAGGACGGUAACGCGACGACAACGGCCAAAACAAGCUCAUUCAAAUAAAUGGUAGCAAAGAUAAUUUGUGGUAUAUAGUAUCAAUCGUAUGAAUUUAAUACAGUCUUAGAAGUUGAAGACAUGAGUUUUAUGGUUGGGAAGAGUUCUGCUGAACCCAGUUUGAAGUUGCACUUGUUGCAUCAAGACGUGAAAAUCUGUGAUUUGGCGUUGUAAACAGAGCGAGGACAAUGUCUAAAUUAUUCAUAUAUUGUAGUUAUUCAAUUCUUUUCAAUGAUCAGCCGUUGCCGUCGCGUUGCCAUCCUAAACCGUAAGGUCUCUAGUAUGGGAAGCGGGAAGGAGGUGGGCCGGUGGAGAAGGUAAGGUUGGGAGUUAAGUAGGCUUGUGUAUAAAGUGUGAAUGGGACAUGGGGUAUAAAGAAUGGGUGUGAGUAGGUGGGGGUGUGAGGUAAGUAAGGUUGUGAACAGCAAGUGGGUAGGUGUGAAAAAGGGGUUAUGGGUGGGUAGGGAGAUGGGGUAAGUAUGGUUGUAGAACAGCAAGAAAUGGGCAGCUGUGAGAUGCGAAGAAGGGGUCUAGGAUGUGUAGGGGAGUGAGGUAAGUAUGGUUGUGGAACAGCAAGAAGUGGGCAGUGGAGGGUGUGAAGAAGAGGUUAGGGUCGGUAGGGGUGUAGGGUAAGUAUGGUUGUGGAACAGCAAGAAGUGGAGGAUGUGAAGAAGGGGUCUAUGGUUGGUAGGGGUGUGGGGUAAGUAUGGUUGUGAAAGAGCAAGAUGUGGGCAGCUGAGAGUGUGAAUAGAGUUUAGCGUGGGUAGG
Non-coding RNA from Paramuricea clavata, 822 nucleotides. The record is from the annotation of a GenBank genome assembly. Lineage: Eukaryota; Metazoa; Cnidaria; Anthozoa; Malacalcyonacea; Plexauridae.